RNAcentral lists this ribosomal RNA (229 nucleotides) under uncultured bacterium. RNAcentral's name for it is "partial 16S ribosomal RNA". It matches the Rfam family "Bacterial small subunit ribosomal RNA", at positions 568 to 796 of the family's 1533-position model. The record is from RNAcentral.
UGCGUAGGCGGAUUAAUAAGUCAGUGGUGAAAUCUUUCGGCUCAACCGAGAAACUGCCAUUGAUACUGUUAAUCUUGAGUUCGGUUGAGGUAGGCGGAAUGUGUAAUGUAGCGGUGAGAUGCUUAGAUAUUACACAGAACACCAAUUGCGUAGGCAGCUUACUAGACCGACACUGACGCUGAGGCACGAAAGCGUGGGGAGCGAACAGGAUUAGAUACCCUGGUAGUCC